Molecule: long non-coding RNA, 258 nt
Organism: Otolemur garnettii (small-eared galago)
Lineage: Eukaryota; Metazoa; Chordata; Mammalia; Primates; Galagidae
Exons: 3
Source: RefSeq, a predicted model, not a curated record
UCGGCGCGGGAGGCUCGGCGGGAGGGCUGAGAAACGCCGGUGAGGCGGAGUGAGGUUAUCCGCUGAAGGAACAGGGGACUUGGACUGCCAGAACACUGGGGCCUGCCACUCGGUUUUCUGAUGGGGAAUGCUGAAGUAAAGUGUCUUUUGGGUGACUUACCUUCUUGAUCGUGACCCUGAAGUCUACAAUGAAGCCCUGUGAGGGAAGGACACCGACUGGCCUGAUUAAUAGAGAGUCUUACGAGGCCACAGCCAGAG